Molecule: ribosomal RNA, 985 nt
Filed under: uncultured eukaryote
Lineage: Eukaryota
Description: bacterial SSU rRNA
Rfam family: Bacterial small subunit ribosomal RNA
Source: RNAcentral
ACGAAAAAUAAUUUUUCGUGGCGUACGGGUGAGUAAUACACAGGAAUCUGCCUUUUAGUUCAGGAUAAAAUUCUGAAUAACAAAAGAAAACUUUUCGCUAAAAGAUGAGCCUGUGUAGGAUUAGGUAGUUGGUAUUUGGGUAAAGGCCUACCAAGCCUAUGAUCCUUAGCUGUUCUGAGAGGUUGUACAGCCACACUGGGACUGAGACAAGGCCCAGGCUUCAUUUGGAGCCAGCAGUGAGGAAUUUUGGACAAUGAGCGAAAGCUUGAUCCAGCAAUACUACAUGAGUGAUGAAGGCUUUCAAGUUGUAAAACUCUUUGGUUGAGGAGGAUAAUGACAGUACUCAACAAAAUAGCCCCGGCUAACUUCGUGCCAGCAGCCGCGGUAAUACGAAGGGGGCGAGCGUUAUCCGGAAUGACUGGGCGUAAAGGGUCCGUAGGCAGCAUUUUUUGUUAGAGGUUAAAUAAAAAAGCUUAACUUUUUUCCGCUUCUAAAACGUAAAUGCUUUGAGUUUGAUAGGAGAUAGCAGAAUUUCACAUGGAGGGGUGAUAUCCGUAGAUAUGUGAAGGAAUACCAGAGGCGAAGGCGGCUAUCUAGAUCAAUACUGACGUUGAGGGACGAAAGCAUGGGGAGCAAACAGGAUUAGAUACCCUGGUAGUCCAUGCCCUAAAAGAUGAGUGCUCGUGCUUAGAUAUUUUUAGGCACUUAGUUAACACGUUAAGCACUCCGCCUGGGGAGUACGACCGCAAGGUUGGAACUCAAAGGAAUUGACGGGGGCCUAUACAAGUGGUGGAGCAUGUGGUUUAAUGCGACAAUACGCGCGAAACCUUACCAGUUCUUGACAUAAAAAAGAAAAAGUUUGAAAGGACAAUUUUGAAGAUUUUUACAGGUGCUGCAUGGCUGUCGUCAGCUCGUGUCGUGAGAUGUUAGGUUAACUCCUUUUAACGGGCCGAAACCCCUUUUCUUAGUUGCCACUUAAAUUUAA